AGAGCGAACGCUGGCGGCAGGCCUAAUACAUGCAAGUCGAACGGAUCCUUCGGGAUUAGUGGCGGACGGGUGAGUAACACGUGGGAACGUGCCCUUUGGUUCGGAACAACUCAGGGAAACUUGAGCUAAUACCGAAUGUGCCCCCUUCUUAACCGGAGGGUGGGAAAGAUUUAUCGCCAUUGGAGCGGCCCGCGUCUGAUUAGCUAGUUGGUAGGGUAAAGGCCUACCAAGGCUACGAUCAGUAGCUGGUCUGAGAGGAUGAUCAGCCACACUGGGACUGAGACACGGCCCAGACUCCUACGGGGGGCAGCAGUGAGGAAUUUUCGUCAAUGGGGGCAACCCUGAACGAGCAACGCCGCGUGCAGGAGAAGGUUUUCGGAUCGUAAACUGCUUUUCUCGGGGAAGAGAACGGACGGUACCCGAGGAAUCAGCCCCGGCUAACUACGCGCCAGCAGCCGC
Molecule: ribosomal RNA, 459 nt
Filed under: uncultured bacterium
Lineage: Bacteria
Description: SSU rRNA
Rfam family: Bacterial small subunit ribosomal RNA
Source: RNAcentral